GCGGGUAGAGCUCAGUUGCAGAGUGCAUGCUUAGAAUGCACGAGGUCCUGGGUUCAAUCCCCAGUACCUCCA
Molecule: transfer RNA, 72 nt
Filed under: Camelus bactrianus (Bactrian camel)
Lineage: Eukaryota; Metazoa; Chordata; Mammalia; Artiodactyla; Camelidae
Also listed under: 2 other names
Rfam family: tRNA
About the family: Transfer RNA (tRNA) molecules are approximately 80 nucleotides in length. Their secondary structure includes four short double-helical elements and three loops (D, anti-codon, and T loops).
Source: Rfam by way of RNAcentral